This is a non-coding RNA of Caenorhabditis elegans, 21 nucleotides long. The record is from Ensembl. Lineage: Eukaryota; Metazoa; Nematoda; Chromadorea; Rhabditida; Rhabditidae.
UUAAUUCCUUCUGAAAUAACA